AUAAUUGAUAGGAGCCUGCUUAGCGCCCGUCGCUCUGCCACAGAUGUCAAACUCCCAGGGUGAGGCUCAUCCAUUGCACUCCGGGUGUGCUGACCCCUGCGAUUUCCCCAAAUGCGGGAAACUCAAUUUGUAAUUUAUGUUACUUACUUAC
RNAcentral lists this small nuclear RNA (151 nucleotides) under Erpetoichthys calabaricus (reedfish). Its description in RNAcentral is "U1 spliceosomal RNA (ENSECRG00000005811.1)". It matches the Rfam family "U1 spliceosomal RNA". Rfam says of the family: U1 is a small nuclear RNA (snRNA) component of the spliceosome (involved in pre-mRNA splicing). Its 5' end forms complementary base pairs with the 5' splice junction, thus defining the 5' donor site of an intron. The record is from RNAcentral. Lineage: Eukaryota; Metazoa; Chordata; Cladistia; Polypteriformes; Polypteridae.